Molecule: ribosomal RNA, 413 nt
Filed under: uncultured bacterium
Lineage: Bacteria
Description: bacterial SSU rRNA
Rfam family: Bacterial small subunit ribosomal RNA
Source: RNAcentral
GUGCUUGCACUUGACGACGACCGGCGCACGGGUGCGGAACGCGUAUGGAACCUACCUUUAUCAGGGGGAUAGCCCAUGGAAACGUGGAUUAAUACCCCAUAGUAUUAUUUCAUUGCAUGAUGAUAUAAUUAAAGAAUUUCGGAUAGAGAUGGCCAUGCGUAUCAUUAGCUAGUAGGCGAGGUAACGGCUCACCUAGGCGACGAUGAUUAGGGGUCCUGAGAGGGAGAUCCCCCACACUGGGACUGAGACACGGCCCAGACUCCUACGGGAGGCAGCAGUGGGGAAUCUUAGACAAUGGGGGCAACCCUGAUCUAGCCAUGCCGCGUGAGUGAUGAAGGCCUUAGGGUCGUAAAGCUCUUUCGCCUGUGAUGAUAAUGACAGUAGCAGGUAAAGAAACCCCGGCUAACUCCGUG